This 343-nucleotide ribosomal RNA is filed under the name uncultured soil bacterium. RNAcentral's name for it is "bacterial SSU rRNA". It matches the Rfam family "Bacterial small subunit ribosomal RNA", at positions 26 to 369 of the family's 1533-position model. The record is from RNAcentral.
AGAUUGAACGCUGGCGGCAUGCCUUACACAUGCAAGUCGAACGGCAGCACGGGAGCAAUCCUGGUGGCGAGUGGCGAACGGGUGAGUAAUAUAUCGGAACGUGCCCAGUCGUGGGGGAUAACGCAGCGAAAGCUGUGCUAAUACCGCAUACGAUCUAUGGAUGAAAGCGGGGGAUCGCAAGACCUCGCGCGAUUGGAGCGGCCGAUAUCAGAUUAGCUAGUUGGUGGGGUAAAAGCCUACCAAGGCGACGAUCUGUAGCUGGUCUGAGAGGACGACCAGCCACACUGGAACUGAGACACGGUCCAGACUCCUACGGGAGGCAGCAGGUAGGGGAAUUUUGGAC